Long non-coding RNA from Benincasa hispida (wax gourd), 1064 nucleotides. RefSeq lists it as uncharacterized. NCBI's taxonomy places the organism in Eukaryota, Viridiplantae, Streptophyta, Magnoliopsida, Cucurbitales, Cucurbitaceae. The record is from RefSeq and is a predicted model, not a curated record.
UUCUUCUUCCUUGAGCCACUCAAAAGCCCUAGCCCUCCCUUUGUUUUCGUUUCUCCAGCCGCCAUCGACGCAACUUCGUUUGCCGCCUCCAGCCACCAGUGUUCCGCCGAUGUUGGUCCGAGCCAUCUUUGCCACCGCCAACCCAACCCAAUUUCUACUGCAUCGUUGCAAAGCUCAGCCUCGCCCUCCGGAUCCACGCGUCGUCGCCGUCUCACGUUCGCUUCAACUGUAGACUCGCGCGACUAGAAACCCAGCCUCGUUCGCCACUUCAGCUGCCGUCUCACGUUCGCUCUAGCUGCGGACUCGCGCGACCAGAAAUGCAGCUUCGUUCGCCGCUCGUCCAGCCCGCUAUCCAAGCCCAGCCGCCUUUCUCCACUGUCGUUCGUUGGAUUUCGGCGAAUGUUGGUAAGUUUUGGGUGAGAUCCAAGACUGGGGUACUUCAGAGUGCGCAACGUGUUGCCCAGCGGAUUCGAGUUCGUUUGGCAAUUAGUUUGUAUUCUUGAAGGUUCCAAGUCGUCAUCCAUUGAGUUUUAAAAUCUGCUUAGAAGAGAUUUUGGAGUCGAAAUCUUGCGAGUGUUUGUGGAGCAAGUUUCGUUUUGGGGGACUUAAUUCAAGGUUUAUUUUGUUGAAGAGCAUUAGCUUGGAUUAAUAUCUGAACUUCACUUCGAGGUAAGUAAUCUUACCACUGGAACUGCCCACGGGCCAGGAUCUAGUUGUAUGCUAGCAUGAUAAGUGUAUGUUAUGGUAAAUGUUAGCAUGUUGAUUGAUAGUAUGACUUGAAUCAAAGUAUGUUCUGGCACAAAUUCUGAUUUAUUUACAUAUACACCUAAGUGCUUGAUCGUUAGUAUGUGAUAGUAUGUGAUUCCAUAUGUCGAUGUCUGAUCUGCUGGCGUUGAGGCAUACUUGUAUGUUGUGGAUUUAUGAUAUUAGUUAUACCUAGAUGAUGUAUAAUAUGUUGUUAAGAAUUAUGGGUAUGUGAUGUAGCCAUGGUAUUAAGGAUUUUUUUUAUGCAUGCUUUAGAACCGUACAAUGUUGAAUCUUAGCACGUUAGAACCGUGUGAAUA